This 508-nucleotide long non-coding RNA is filed under the name Bos indicus x Bos taurus (hybrid cattle). RNAcentral describes it as "lncRNA (ENSBIXG00005019816.1)". The record is from RNAcentral. Lineage: Eukaryota; Metazoa; Chordata; Mammalia; Artiodactyla; Bovidae.
UUGUGUGCACCAGAGCACAGGUACUGAGAGAUGCAGACACAGCGGGGCAUGCUGCCCUCAAGCUCAGGAUGGACGACGGAAGAUGGACGCGGACAUCAAUCACCACAAUACAAGGAGUCAUUACUAAGGUGCAGCAGUGUCUCAGAUGUCCACAAAUAGAUGAUGGAGGCCAGCCCUUGUCCUCAAGGCCAUGCAUGACAUUUUCAAAGGAAUCAUGGCCUUCUCUCAUGGUACAGUGGAUAAGAAUCCACCUAGCACUGCAGGGAGCAUGGGCCCCAUCCCUGGUCCAGGAAGAUCCCACACGCCAUGGAGCAGCUGAGCCUGUGCGCCACAACUCCUGAGCAUGAGAGCCACAACUACUGAGUCCAUGAGUGCCUCGAGCCCACAUGCCGAACAAGAGAUGCCACUGUAGUGAGAAGACUGUGCCCUGCAAUGAAGAGCAGACCCUGCUCACCGCUGUUAAAGAAAGCCCAUGCACAGCAAUAAAGAUUCAAUGCAGCCAAAAGCA